AUUGAACGCUGGCGGCAGGCCUAACACAUGCAAGUCGAGCGGAUGAAGGGAGCUUGCUCCUGGAUUCAGCGGCGGACGGGUGAGUAAUGCCUAGGAAUCUGCCUGGUAGUGGGGGAUAACGUCCGGAAACGGGCGCUAAUACCGCAUACGUCCUGAGGGAGAAAGUGGGGGAUCUUCGGACCUCACGCUAUCAGAUGAGCCUAGGUCGGAUUAGCUAGUUGGUGGGGUAAAGGCCUACCAAGGCGACGAUCCGUAACUGGUCUGAGAGGAUGAUCAGUCACACCGGAACUGAGACACGGGCCCGACCCCUUAGGGAGGCAGGCGGUGGGAAAUUUUGGCAAUUGGCGAAAGGCCUAAUCAGCCCAGGCGGGGGGUGGAAGAAGGGUUUCGGAUUUGAAAACACCUUAAGUUGGGAGGAAGGGCAGUAAGUUAAUACCUUGCUGUUUUGACGUUACCAACAGAAUAAGCACCGGCUAACUUCGUG
This 484-nucleotide ribosomal RNA is filed under the name uncultured bacterium. RNAcentral's name for it is "partial 16S ribosomal RNA". It matches the Rfam family "Bacterial small subunit ribosomal RNA", at positions 30 to 507 of the family's 1533-position model. The record is from RNAcentral.